GAUGAACGCUGGCGGCGUGCCUAAUACAUGCAAGUCGAGCGAACAGACGAGGAGCUUGCUCCUCUGACGUUAGCGGCGGACGGGUGAGUAACACGUGGAUAACCUACCUAUAAGACUGGGAUAACUUCGGGAAACCGGAGCUAAUACCGGAUAAUAUAUUGAACCGCAUGGUUCAAUAGUGAAAGACGGUUUUGCUGUCACUUAUAGAUGGAUCCGCGCCGCAUUAGCUAGUUGGUAAGGUAACGGCUUACCAAGGCAACGAUGCGUAGCCGACCUGAGAGGGUGAUCGGCCACCCUGGAACUGAGACACGGUCCAGACUCCUACGGGAGGCAGCAGUAGGGAAUCUUCCGCAAUGGGCGAAAGCCUGACGGAGCAACGCCGCGUGAGUGAUGAAGGUCUUCGGAUCGUAAAACUCUGUUAUUAGGGAAGAACAAAUGUGUAAGUAACUAUGCACAUCUUGACGGUACCUAAUCAGAAAGCCACGGCUAACUACGUG
RNAcentral lists this ribosomal RNA (497 nucleotides) under uncultured bacterium. RNAcentral's name for it is "partial 16S ribosomal RNA". It matches the Rfam family "Bacterial small subunit ribosomal RNA", at positions 28 to 507 of the family's 1533-position model. The record is from RNAcentral.